Molecule: long non-coding RNA, 339 nt
Filed under: Eucalyptus grandis
Lineage: Eukaryota; Viridiplantae; Streptophyta; Magnoliopsida; Myrtales; Myrtaceae
Description: long non-coding RNA (EGRA_LNC005999)
Source: RNAcentral
GGCGAGGAAGGAGGUCGUGUGGUGAGCGGCAAGGAGGGAGGAGGAGAAGAGGAAGGGUCGCGAGCGGCGAUGAGGAGGAGUAAAGGAGCUAGGGUUUCUGAGAAACUCAAAAGUAAUUAAAAAAGUGGGGGUCUAUGGGUACCUAUUUUGGGGGGAGGGAAAGUGACGGACAGAUGGGGGGAAAUGGACGAUUGUGGGAGGGAAAGGAAAAAAAAUAAAUUUGGGUGGGGGGAGUGGACGAUGGUGGGGACUGGGGAGGGAAAGGAAAAUAAAUUUGGGGAUGGGGGAAAUAGAUAAGCAAAAGAAGAGAGUUGGGUGGACUCUAAUGGGAAUUUUUUU